RNAcentral lists this ribosomal RNA (447 nucleotides) under uncultured bacterium. Its description in RNAcentral is "partial 16S ribosomal RNA". It matches the Rfam family "Bacterial small subunit ribosomal RNA", at positions 29 to 523 of the family's 1533-position model. The record is from RNAcentral.
AGCGAACGCUGGCGGCAGGCUUAACACAUGCAAGUCGAACGCCCCGCAAGGGGAGAGGCAGACGGGUGCGUAACACGUGGGAACUUACCCUUUGGUUCGGAAUAACUCGGGGAAACUCAAGCUAAUACCGGAUAAGCCCUUAUGGGGAAAGGUUUGCUGCCGAAGGCUCGGCCCGCGUCUGAUUAGCUUGUUGGUGAGGUAAUGGCUCACCAAGGCGACGAUCAGUAGCUGGACUGAGAGGAUGAUCAGCCACACUGGGACAGCAACACGGCCCAGAUUCGUACGGCAGGUAGCAGUGGGGGAUAUUGUACAAUGGGGGACACCCUCGUCCCGCGAUGCCGCGGGAGUUAUGAAGGGCUUAGGCUUGUAAAGCUCUUUUACCCCGGACGAUGAGGAUUGUAUCGGGCGAAUAAGCCCCGGCUAACUUCAUGCCAGCCGCCGCGGUAA